This 459-nucleotide ribosomal RNA is filed under the name uncultured bacterium. RNAcentral's name for it is "partial 16S ribosomal RNA". It matches the Rfam family "Bacterial small subunit ribosomal RNA", at positions 338 to 795 of the family's 1533-position model. The record is from RNAcentral.
CCUACGGGAGGCUGCAGUGAGGAAUAUUGGUCAAUGGCCGGGAGGCUGAACCAGCCAAGUCGCGUGAGGGAAGACGGCCCUACGGGUUGUAAACUUCUUUUGUCAAGGGACAAAAUCAGGCUCGAGAGCCUGACCGAGGGUACUUGAAGAAAAAGCAUCGGCUAACUCCGUGCCAGCAGCCGCGGUAAUACGGAGGAUGCGAGCGUUAUCCGGAUUUAUUGGGUUUAAAGGGUGCGUAGGCGGACUGUUAAGUCAGCGGUAAAAGCCCGGGGCUCAACCCCGGCGAGCCGUUGAAACUGGCUGUCUUGAGAUGUCGAGAGGUAUGCGGAAUUCGUGGUGUAGCGGUGAAAUGCUUAGAUAUCACGAAGAACCCCGAUUGCGAAGGCAGCUUACUAAACUGUGACUGACAUUGAUGCUCGAAAGUGUGGGUAUCAAACAGGAUUAGAUACCCCUGUAGUC